This 403-nucleotide ribosomal RNA is filed under the name uncultured bacterium. Its description in RNAcentral is "partial 16S ribosomal RNA". It matches the Rfam family "Bacterial small subunit ribosomal RNA", at positions 28 to 526 of the family's 1533-position model. The record is from RNAcentral.
GACGAACGCUGGCGGCGUGCCUAAUACAUGCAAGUCGAACGCAGUGGGGACGGGUGAGUAACACGUGGGUAACCUCCCAUCAGAGGGGAUAACACUUGGAAACAGGUGCUAAAACGAUACUGAUGGGUGGACACGCGGUGCAUUAGCUCGUUGGGGAGGUAACGGCUCACCAAGGCCACGAUGCAUAACCGACCUGAGAGGGGGAUCGGCAAAACUGGGACUGAGAAACGGCCCAGACGCCUACGGGAGGCAGCAUUAGGGAAGCUUCGGCAAGGGACGAAAGCCUGAACGAGCAACGCCGCGUGAGUGAAGAAGGUUUUCGGAUCGUAAAGCGCUUUUGUUAGAGAAGCGGUAUCUAACCAGAAAGCCACGGCUAACUACGUGCCAGCAGCCGCGGUAAUUC